Molecule: ribosomal RNA, 497 nt
Filed under: uncultured bacterium
Lineage: Bacteria
Description: partial 16S ribosomal RNA
Rfam family: Bacterial small subunit ribosomal RNA
Source: RNAcentral
GAUGAACGCUGGCGGCGUGCCUAAUACAUGCAAGUCGAGCGAACGGACGAGAAGCUUGCUUCUCUGAUGUUAGCGGCGGACGGGUGAGUAACACGUGGAUAACCUACCUAUAAGACUGGUAUAACUUCGGGAAACCGGAGCUAAUCCCGGAUAAUCUUUUGAACCACAGGGGUGAAAAGAGAAAGACGGUCUUUCUGUCACUACUCGAUGGAUCCGCGCUGCAUUAGCUAGUUGGUAAGGUAACGGCUUACCAAGGGAACGAGGCAUAACCGAACUGAGAGGGUGAUCGGCCACACUGGAACUGAGACACGGUCCAGACUCCUACGGGAGGCAGCAGUAGGGAAUCUUCCGCAAUGGGCGAAAGCCUGACGGAGCAACGCCGCGUGAGUGAUGAAGGUCUUCGGAUCGUAAAACUCUGUUAUGAGGGAAGAACAUAUGUGUAAGUAACUGUGCACAUCUUGACGGUACCUAAUCAGAAAGCCACGGCUAACUACGUG